ACCCUCAGAACAACGGCUGCGCGCGCUUAAGCAGCGAAAUCCAGUCCUGCCAGGAGCGUGGAGUCAAGGUGAUGCUCUCCAUCGGAGGUGGCGGGUCUUAUGGCCUGAGUUCCACCGAAGACGCCAAGGACGUGGCGUCAUACCUCUGGCACAGUUUCUUGGGUGGUUCUGCUGCUCGCUACUCUCGACCCCUCGGGGAUGCGGUUCUGGAUGGCAUAGACUUCAACAUCGCCGGAGGGAGCACAGAACACUACGAUGAACUUGCCGCUUUCCUCAAGGCCUACAACGAGCAGGAGGCCGGAACGAAGAAAGUUCACUUGAGUGCUGCUCCGCAGUGUCCUUUCCCGGAUUACUGGCUUGGCAACGCACUCAGAACAGAU
Molecule: long non-coding RNA, 380 nt
Filed under: Musa acuminata (dwarf banana)
Lineage: Eukaryota; Viridiplantae; Streptophyta; Magnoliopsida; Zingiberales; Musaceae
Description: long non-coding RNA (MACU_LNC010634)
Source: RNAcentral